GGCAAACAAAGGAGUGACCAGGCUUUCGGGUGCGAUACAAGGGAAGGCUAAACUCAGACACUCUGUCCUGAUGAGAGGCGCUGAUGUUAAUCGCCUGCCUUUGAUCCAUUUGCCUUUUAAGUAGAACUACCAUCUUUGCCUUGUCUUCCUUCUGGCUUUGCUCCAAAUGAAGACCUGCACAGCUGCCAGGGCACAUGAUAGGAAGUGCCACAUCCAAGCAGAUCAGAAAUCUCAAGCCUUGGCGAGGAUUUUCUACAGGUGCAAAUGUGAUAAUGAGUAACAGAAGAAAGUAUCACAACAUGUCUCAAUGUGUCUCAUCUUCUGAUGAGAACUCCAGACCACUUCUGCACAGCUGUCUGAACAGAGCUCCCAUCUGAUCUUUAUCGUUUCACUCCUAGCAAUGGAAGUGGCUGUCUGAUCUUGACUUUUCACCACACCCAGACUUCCCAUUGACUUCAAGGAGCAGGACUCUGUGGGGGCAGUGUGAAAGUCACCCAAUAAAGGUUUUCAAGAGGAAGCAGCUGAAUUCAUCACCACCAGAAUUUACAUAGAUCUAGAAGAUGCUGACAGGUUUGCUAUGGCAAGCACAACGAGCGGUGUCAACUGAAGUGGUAUGACAAAACGAAGAAGGACCAUGCAGAGCAGCCCCAGUGUAAUUGCGGUGACAACCCUUCCUUCCUGCUCCUUGGCAUACUGACAGCACGCCCUGCCUGCAGCAGGGCAGACCCCCUUCUCCCAGCCCCCAGAUGGGAAGGGGCUCUCGCGUACAUUAUCUGUGGCUCACAAGGAACUGCCACGGAUGCAGAUGCACUGCCAUUUCCUACCACCCACUCCAAAAUGACAGAGGAAGCAUCAGUCUCUAAGACAGGCUGGAUUAUUGUUGUUUCCUCCAUGAAGAAUUUGCCACAAACACCUCGCUAAUCCUCAGCUCAAAUUAGAGACUUCUCAGGUCAGAUGCUGCGUGCAUAAAGCAUGCAUUACCUUUAGAGCUGGACAAAGACUAGGGCAGCUGUAAAAGGCCCCAGAGCAGUGCAGAGAACCACGUGCAGUGCUGGAGCAAGGGAAAGCCUUACCCAACCUCAUCUCCCAGCCAACUCUGAAGCAGCCUUGGGGACAUCAGGACACAGCAAGGCUUUGCCAGCUGCAUCACUAGCACGUGGUGCAGCUACAGCAGAUGGAUCUUGUGCCUGGAUAACCCUAAUAACGCUGUGAUUAAUUAUAAACCCUGCUUCUGUAAGGUUUGCAGGGGAAGAAACCUUCUCCUUCUGCUGAGGAGAAAGAGAAAUGAUGCCCUUGAAUAGCACUGUUUGUAUAAAUGAUUGUGCUUUUUACCCAGAGUUCAUCUGCUGAGUUCUCUCAGCAGAUGAACUGUUCUGGUUUGGGAGGAGCCUGUGUGAGUUUUGAUGUGUAAAGCAGGAUAAUGGAUUUUCAUUAUUAAAGGGUUUACAAAUUGGCUGGCAAGCCCCAGGUGAGAGGUCACUGUACAAAUAAAAGGUUUGAGCUGAGCGAGGAAGCUUGGGUUUGACUGAGAGGACAGGGAAAAAAGGUUUUGCUCUGCAGGACGGCCGGUUGGCUUGUUUGAACAGAAACUAACUCACAGGCUCUUUUUUCACUCCGAGUUUCUCCAUCAGGCCAUUCGUAGAGUGUUUGAGCAGGGCUGAUAACAGCAGAAUUAAUUCCAUCCCGAGGUUUUAAUAAAUCUGUCUGCAGCGGAGAGGAACUGAAUUUGUCACAGGUUUGGCUAAAGCAGUCUGUGCAGUGUAAGAGGAUCUGACCACAGACUGACAGAGAGCACCUGUCAGGCCAGGUGCCAGUGCUGUGCAUGUGUUACUGGUGCCAGAUAAACCAGUGGGGCAUCUAAA
Oxyura jamaicensis (ruddy duck) is the source of this 1862-nucleotide long non-coding RNA. RefSeq lists it as uncharacterized. The record is from RefSeq and is a predicted model, not a curated record. The transcript has 3 exons. Lineage: Eukaryota; Metazoa; Chordata; Aves; Anseriformes; Anatidae.